Piliocolobus tephrosceles (Ugandan red Colobus) is the source of this 1423-nucleotide long non-coding RNA. The record is from Ensembl. NCBI's taxonomy places the organism in Eukaryota, Metazoa, Chordata, Mammalia, Primates, Cercopithecidae.
AUAUUAGGAAGCAUAAUAUAAUACAUUACAUCAAUACACUAAAGUACACAAAUCAUGUUGUAAUUAGUGAAAAAAGUAUUUGACAAAAUUUAGCCAUUUCUCAUAAAAUCUUCUAUUUAAAAUAAAAGGGGGCCGGGUAUGGUGGCUCAUGCCUGUAAUCCCAGCACUUUGAGAGGCCAAGGUGGGCAGAUCACUUGAAGUCAGGAAUUCGAGACCAGCCUGGCCAACAUGAUGAAACCCCAUCACUACUAAAAAUACAAAAAUUAGCCAGGCAUGGUAGCACACGCCUUCAGUCCCAGCUACUCAGGAGGCCGAGGCAGGACAAUCACUUGAACCCGGGAGGCGGAGGUUGCAGUGAGCCAAGAUCACGCCACUGCACUCCAGCCUGGGCGACAGAGCGAGAUUCUGUCUCAAAAAAAUAAAGUACAGUAAAAUAUGGAAUUUAAAUAAUGCACCUAAAAAAUCACACCUACUUUUUAAAAAAGAACAGAUAACAUAUUAAUUGAUGAAAUAUUAACGAUCAGCAUUAUAGCUGGGAAAAAGCCAGGGAUGCCUGUUUCACCGCUGCCACUCCACCUGCAUUUGGGGGUUCUCAUGGCAGACGAAGGCAGGCAGGGGUGGUGGAGAUUGUGCACAUCAGGCCAGAAGUGCUGACAUUCUCCUCUCCCUGCAGAAGAGAGGGAUGCCCGUUGAGAAGAUCCAAAAGCUUUAUUCAUACAUUCGUAACCUACAGAACCAAUAAGAUGCUUUAGGGCACGGCACACUCACACUCCAGAGAUGAAAAGCAGAGUGCUUUGUCCCUCACAGCUCCAAACAAGGGAAUGCAGCCAAUUCACCUCUCAGCAUCCCAAGGGGGAAAGGAGAAAAAUCAGCCGGUCUGUCCUCAUCCGUAAUCCGUGGGGGAUAAAGAAUGGAGGAGCUGCCAAUGCUAGACAGCACUGGGCUGUCCCUGUGUCCUUUCUGAGACAGGAGAGGCCACAUGGGGUGAACUUACCGGCUUGGGCUUUUGAAACAUUCAAAGGGCGAGGCCUCACCAGUAGAGGGCAGAGAAACUAAGGCAAGUUCUGGAUUUUCCUUGAGUUCUGCUAUUAUUUAUUCAUUUAUUUACUGAGAUGGAGUUUCGCUCUUGUUGCCCAGGCUGGAGUGCAAUGGCGCAAUCUUGGCUCACUGCAACUUCCGCCUCCCGGGUUCAAGUGAUUCUCCUGCCUCAGCCUCCCAAGUAGCUGGGAUUAUAGGCGUGCACCCCCAUGCCGAGCUAAUUUUGUGUGUGUAUGUACAUAUAUAUAUAUAUAUAUAUAUAUAUAUAUAUAUAUAUUUUUUUUUUUUGUAGAGACGGGGUUUCACCACGCUGGCCAGGCUGGUCUCGAACUCCUGACCUCAAGUGAUCCACCUGCCUUGGCCUCUCAAAGUGCUGGGAUUACAG